RNAcentral lists this long non-coding RNA (256 nucleotides) under Mytilus galloprovincialis (Mediterranean mussel). Lineage: Eukaryota; Metazoa; Mollusca; Bivalvia; Mytilida; Mytilidae. The record is from RNAcentral.
AUCCCUUACAGAAAUGAAAAGUUUGCUGCAAUAUUGCAACAAUAUAGCGGCAAUAUUGCGGCAAACAAAUUUGUUUGCAAGAAGUGUUUGCAAGAAAGUUGCAGGUUGUUGCAGUUACCUGCAACAUUCUCGCAAUGUUACUGCAACAAAAAUAUGUUUGCAAGAAAAUUGCAGCAAGUUUGCUACAAUGUUGCAAGAAAGAAUUUGUUUGCAAGAAAGUUGCAGGAACCUUUUCUUUUAUUAUUUAAGAAAUAAC